CGCGGAGGUCAGGAGGGAGGGCAGAGGGGGUCAGAGGCCGGCCCUUCCCGGCCCCCGGCGCCCCCGGAGGUCAGGGAGAUAAGAAACAAUGACUCUCGCCCCCGGGAGGAGGAAGGAAGCCCCGCUGCCGCCGCCUUAUCUCCGCUCCCGUGCGUUCUCCCAGUUCCCAGAGCUGGUUCUCUAGAGAGGACUUGGAAGGCGGCUUUUGUGCUGACGGCCAGCCCCAUCAUCUGAGGGAGGUGAAUUUGGCAAAUGACAUGCAGGUUCUCCAAGACAGAGUAAUCACAGAAAAUUGUCAAAGGACCCCCUCUGCAGAUGUCCUGAACACUUCUGACUACAGCAAUUGAUUUUUCAACCGGGAUACCUAAUUCCAGGUAUUAGCUCUUGUCAGAAAGCUUUUACAUCCAAGCU
Molecule: long non-coding RNA, 411 nt
Filed under: Capra hircus (goat)
Lineage: Eukaryota; Metazoa; Chordata; Mammalia; Artiodactyla; Bovidae
Description: lncRNA (ENSCHIG00010008665.1)
Source: RNAcentral